Molecule: ribosomal RNA, 494 nt
Filed under: uncultured bacterium
Lineage: Bacteria
Description: partial 16S ribosomal RNA
Rfam family: Bacterial small subunit ribosomal RNA
Source: RNAcentral
GACGAACGCUGGCGGCGUGCUUAACACAUGCAAGUCGAACGGUGAAGCGCCUUCCUUUUUGGUGUGUGUGGUUGAGUGGCGAACGGGUGAGUAACACGUGAGUACCCUGCCCCCUUCUUCUGGAUAACCGCAUGACAGUGUUGCUAAUACGUGAUAUUCUGGGUCUGUCGCAUGAUUGGUCUUUGAAAGCUUUUGUUUCUGUGGGGGAUGGGCGGGGGGCCUAUCAGCUUGGUGGGGGGGUGAUGGCCUACCAAGGCGGUGAGGGGUUGACGGCGUGGGAGGGUGGACGGACACACAGGGGCUGAGACAAGGAGAAGACGCCGACGGGAGGCAGCAGGGAAGAAGAGUGAACAAUGGGAGAAAGGCUGAAGCAGCGACGCCGGGGGAGGGAAGGAGGGCGGCGGGUUGUGAACCUCUUUCGCGAGAGAAGAAGGCCUGCAGAGUAUGUGGGUGGGUUGACGGUAGCUGGAUAAGAAGCGCCGGCUAACUACGUG